CCCGACUGCUAUCGGAUUGAGAUUUAACCAUGCGAGUCGAACGUUCCCCUGUUGCGGGGAGCGUGGCGUACGGCUCAGUAACACGUAGUCAACCUGCCCUGGAGACAGGACAACCCCGGGAAACUGGGAUUAAUCCUCUGAUAGGUCAUCUCAUCUGGAAGGAGAGAUGGCUUAAAGGGGUACGCGGGCUUCUUCUGCGUAUUCGCUCCAGGAUGGGACUGCGUCCGAUCAGGCUGUUGGCGGGGUAAUGGCCCACCAAAACUGUAACCGGUACCGGCCUUGAGAGAGGUGGCCCGGAGAUGGACACUGAGAAAAGGGUCCAGGCCCUACGGGGCGCAGUAGGCGCGAAACCUUCGCAAUGCGCGAAAGCGUGAUGAGGUUAAUCCGAGUGGCCCCCGCUGAAGGGGUCGUUUGUCAGCUGUAAAUACGCAGGCGAAUAAGGAGAGGGCACGCCUGCUGUCAGG
This 464-nucleotide ribosomal RNA is filed under the name uncultured archaeon. RNAcentral describes it as "bacterial SSU rRNA". It matches the Rfam family "Archaeal small subunit ribosomal RNA", at positions 24 to 462 of the family's 1478-position model. The record is from RNAcentral.